RNAcentral lists this ribosomal RNA (253 nucleotides) under uncultured bacterium. Its description in RNAcentral is "partial 16S ribosomal RNA". It matches the Rfam family "Bacterial small subunit ribosomal RNA", at positions 524 to 776 of the family's 1533-position model. The record is from RNAcentral.
UACGGAGGGUGCAAGCGUUAAUCGGAAUUACUGGGCGUAAAGCGUGCGUAGGCUGCUGCUUAAGUCAGAUGUGAAAGCCCCGGGCUUAACCUGGGAACGGCAUUUGAUACUGGGCAGCUCGAGUUGAGUAGAGGAGAGGGGAAUUUCCGGUGUAGCGGUGAAAUGCGUAGAGAUCGGAAGGAACACCAGUGGCGAAGGCGCCUCUCUGGACUCAAACUGACGCUGAGGUACGAAAGCGUGCGUAGCAAACAGU